CAUCUUUGCACUAUUUCUGCUUUUGUUGCUUACAGAUAACGGUCAUGAUGAAACCACUGUUCUGUGCCUUUAUCAUCCUGCUGGUAUGCUGCAUUGUCAUGAAUGCUGAGGGUGCAGACACUGUAUCCUCUACAACUAAAGGCAAGACUACAGAGAAACCAGCAUCUGGUGCCAGCUCGGAUGGACUAUCUGUAAUACAGUUGCUGAUGGCCUUGAUUCCUGCUCUUCUCUGCCAAGCGUUUUAGCACCCAACACAAAUCAUUCAAGGAAGUAUUCCUGGUGUGAAGUAUUCAGAGGAAUAUAGCCUACAUCUUUGGAUCAUGAAGAAUGUGAAGAGUCUGAGACAGAACCAAGAGAUUGGCAUGUGUUGUAAAAAAAUGGUCACAGCUAGUUAAAAUUGGAUCCAUCAAAUGACCUGAAAUUGUAAAAUCACAACAAAUUAAUAAAACAAUGUUUUAAUGACA
Molecule: long non-coding RNA, 464 nt
Organism: Alosa alosa (allis shad)
Lineage: Eukaryota; Metazoa; Chordata; Actinopteri; Clupeiformes; Clupeidae
Exons: 3
Source: RefSeq, a predicted model, not a curated record